GUCUACGGCCAUGCCACCCUGAACAAGCCCGAUCCCAUCUGAUCUCGGAAGCUAAGCAGAGUCAGGCCUGGUUAGUAUUUGGAUGAGAGAACACCUAGGAAGACCUGGUGCUGUAGGUG
This 119-nucleotide ribosomal RNA is filed under the name Pteropus alecto (black flying fox). Lineage: Eukaryota; Metazoa; Chordata; Mammalia; Chiroptera; Pteropodidae. The record is from RNAcentral.